UAGGGAAUCUUCGGCAAUGGACGAAAGUCUGACCGAGCAACGCCGCGUGAGUGAAGAAGAUUUUCGGAUCGUAAAACUCUGUUGGUAGAGAAGAACGUUGGUGAGAGUGGAAAGCUCAUCAAGUGACGGUAACUACCCAGAAAGGGACGGCUAACUACGUGCCAC
This 165-nucleotide ribosomal RNA is filed under the name uncultured bacterium. Its description in RNAcentral is "partial 16S rRNA". It matches the Rfam family "Bacterial small subunit ribosomal RNA", at positions 355 to 511 of the family's 1533-position model. The record is from RNAcentral.